Molecule: ribosomal RNA, 118 nt
Filed under: Pteropus alecto (black flying fox)
Lineage: Eukaryota; Metazoa; Chordata; Mammalia; Chiroptera; Pteropodidae
Source: RNAcentral
GUCUAUGGCCAUGCCACCUUGAACAAGCCCGAUACCGUCUGAUCUCGGAAGCUAAGCAGGGUCAGGCCUGGUUAGCCUUGGAUGGAAGACCACCUAAGAAGACCAGGUGUUGUAGGCG